RNAcentral lists this ribosomal RNA (450 nucleotides) under uncultured bacterium. Its description in RNAcentral is "partial 16S ribosomal RNA". It matches the Rfam family "Bacterial small subunit ribosomal RNA", at positions 354 to 796 of the family's 1533-position model. The record is from RNAcentral.
GUGGGGAAUAUUGGACAAUGGGCGAAAGCCUGAUCCAGCCAUGCCGCGUGUGUGAAGAAGGUCUUCGGAUUGUAAAGCACUUUAAGUUGGGAGGAAGGGCAGUAAGUUAAUACCUUGCUGUUUUGACGUUACCGACAGAAUAAGCACCGGCUAACUUCGUGCCAGUAGCCGCGGUAAUACGAAGGGUGCAAGCGUUAAUCGGAAUUACUGGGCGUAAAGCGCGCGUAGGUGGUUUUGUAAGUUGGAGGUGAAAUCCCCGGGCUCAACCUGGGAACUGCCUCCAAAACUGCAUGACUAGAGUACGGUAGAGGGUAGUGGAAUUUCCUGUGUAGCGGUGAAAUGCGUAGAUAUAGGAAGGAACACCAGUGGCGAAGGCGACUACCUGGACUGAUACUGACACUGAGGUGCGAAAGCGUGGGGAGCAAACAGGAUUAGAUACCCGAGUAGUCC